AACGAACGCUGGCGGCAUGCCUAACACAUGCCAGUCGAACGAGACCUUCGGGUCUAGUGGCGCACGGGUGCGUAACGCGUGGGAACCUGCCCUUAGGUUCGGAAUAACUCCCCGAAAGGGGUGCUAAUACCGGAUAAUGUCUUCGGACCAAAGAUUUAUCGCCUUUGGAUGGGCCCGCGUUGGAUUAGCUAGUUGGUAGGGUAAAAGCCUACCAAGGCGACGAUCCAUAGCUGGUCUGAGAGGAUGAUCAGCCACACUGGGACUGAGACACGGCCCAGACUCCUACGGGAGGCAGCAGUGGGGAAUAUUGGACAAUGGGCGAGAGCCUGAUCCAGCAAUGCCGCGUGAGUGAUGAAGGCCUUAGGGUUGUAAAGCUCUUUUACCCGGGAUGAUAAUGACAGUACCGGGAGAAUAAGCUCCAGCUAACUCCGUG
Molecule: ribosomal RNA, 433 nt
Filed under: uncultured bacterium
Lineage: Bacteria
Description: partial 16S ribosomal RNA
Rfam family: Bacterial small subunit ribosomal RNA
Source: RNAcentral